CUUAGAACUGAAAAAAAUACCUCUGUCUUGUCUGGCCCCUCAGCCCUGUGACAAUCAAAGCCUUCAUAGCUCUGUUUUUCACUUCAGUCCCAGAGAGGCUAAAUGAUUUGCACAAGCUCAUAAUACUGUUAUAUAGCCAGGGGCCUUCUAGUCUCAUGUGGCUUAUAUCACAGUUUAGAGUAAAUAAUAGAAAAAUCUCUCCCUUUUUACCAGUAUAGCUCAGCCGUAAUAGUGGUUAUAAUUUUUCUUUUAAAAAACUUCUUUAAUGAAAAGCGUUCAUUUAUUUUUGAGAGACCGAGAGAAAUAGAGCAUGAGCUGUCAGCACAGAGCCCGACAUGGGGCUUGAACCCACAAACCGUGAGAUCAUGACCUAAGCCAAAGUCGGACGCUUAACCGACUGAGCCAACCAGGCGCCUCAUAAUUUUUCUUUUCAGUUGAACAUGCAGAGUUAGGUAGGAGAAAGGAGGGCUGAACACAAGAGAGUCGGAUGAUCUGCCUCACUUUACUCAUUUUAUUGAUCUGGGAUGGUUGGCCAGAUCUCCUUCACAUCCAUACUAGCUUAGUCGGAAGCAUUGGCUCCAAGUCACUGCCAGAGAAACAAUAUAUCCUGCGAUGACGCAGUCUCUAACUUUGAGGAAUUCAGAAAUUAGAAGGAAAGGCACACGAUACUUUUUUCUUAAGUAACGCAGUGUGUGACGUGCUGAAGUAAAGCUUUGAUCCAGGAACUGUUGAAAUACAGAGGAAUUUUAAGCAAACCCUGAGAGAGGAGGAUUGAGAAGUGUCAUAGAGGAAGUGCGGUUUGACAAGGACGCGGGGAAACAGGGGUACAGUCCAGGUUGUCCUUGGUAAGGACUGUGUGAUUUGGGGAGGCUGGCAUGGCAGGGGCAGAACCGAGAAGAAGAUUGGCUCAGCGGGAGAGGAGAUUUAAAACAUACUUUGGGUCAUGGCUUAGGGGACUUGGUUGUAUACGAAGCUAGCAAGUUUGUUCUCUGUGUGCGCUUGGAAGCUCUGUACGGCUUUGGAGCAGAACAGUGAAACCUUUAGUUUUUUUUCUGGAGAGAUAACUUUUUUAUUUUGGGUAAGACAUUUAAUGGGAGCGGGCUGGAGGUAAAGAUGCCUGUUGAAUAGUUUAACACCAUCAUAAUUUCUGGUGCGAGUGUCCCAGACUGAAGAGUCAGUUCAAGAUUGGCUGCUAAGUCAAGGUUAUCUCCAGGUUUUUAGCUUUUUAAUUCACGGUUUCUCGACCUUUUUUUUUUUAAAUUGCUGAUUUCUGGUUUUUGGGGUGUAUAGCCCAGGAGAUACAUUAAAGGGGCUCAGAAAAAUACAGUAAAAUAAAUCACAGAACAGUCCCUUAUAUGGAGAUGGAGUUUGUGUGGAUUGUAAUAAAUUGCUGUUGUACAUCGUGCACAGUGGAGCUGAUGGGGAGAUUGAAACCAAAAAAAGAGAAGUUUGAUUCAAAACUAACAUAUAUUCCAACUUAAAUGUGAACAACCACUUGAUAAGUUGCACUCGAGACAGCGGAUUUAACCUGCAAGGAAUCCCAGCAAGUUCUCACGGAAGUGGUAGCCUUCGAGGGACAUUCUUUGUAAAAAAAAAAAGCCUGGGUUAGGGAAGCAAGUCCUAGAACUCAGAAAGGUCUCCUUCUGAAACGGAUUCCAAAGCUCUAAAGGUUAAUAAGCCAUGAAAACCCUGCCAUCUCAGUCUAAUUGUAGUUGCUUUUAGAAUAAGACAUAAUGUGGAUGUAUUGAUAAAAUUCUCAGUGAUAUUCAUAAACUGUACCAACUUUAGUUUCCUGUGGUGUUCGCUCUCUUGUGACAUAAGGAUGUUAGAGGAGCAAAGAAACACCGCUGACCCUUGAGCAACUUGGGGGUUGGGGGCACUGACCCCCACCCGGUCCAAAACCUGGGUAUGACUUCUGACUCCCGGAAAAACUUAACUGAUAGCCUACUAUUGACCGGAAGCCGUUACCGAUCACGGUCAGUUAAUGCAUAUUUUGUUUGUUAUAUGUAUGAUAUUGUGUAUACUUACAGUAAAGUGGCAGAAAGAAGAAAAUGUUAUUAAGAAACUCAUAAGGAAAAUACAUUUACAGUACUGAGUUUAUCGAAAAAAGUUUGCGUGUACGUGGAUCUGCGCAUUUCAAAUCCGUGUUAAGGGCACACUGUGCCGACAUUUCUUUGUUUGUUUUUAAUGACACAAGUUGUGGCUUGUGGACGGGGGUCUCUUGUGAUGGUGUCGUGCUAACUGAUUGCGGUUAGUGUGAUCAACCUCAACAGCCCCCUCGUGGGGAUCAGCAGGACAGAGGGAGGCUUCUGUUCUCUCUCUGAAAGAUUCUACCAACCGGCCGCAUUCAUAGGCUUUAACUGAAGCCACCUACUCCAUUGUGUAGAAGCCACUGAGGCAGUCUUUCUCGCCCCAAGUCUGGAUGUAGGGGUUAAGAGUAUUUGUUGAAAGACCGUGGAAAAAGAAAGUAUUGUGUAGCAUUCAUUUUGCGGCUUAUAAAACUCAAAUGAUUCUAUCGAAGAUACUAAAUUGUACGUGAGAAGAGCCUGCCAUUCUUGUUAAAAUUCAAGUGACAUGUGAAAGGUUUCAGAUAUUUUAUAGCAGCUCUUGUGUUUGAUAUUUUAGAAUAUUCAAAUGGUUUAAACGCCUCAAGCGUUAGUACAUGCAUCGAAAGAUGCACAUCUUCCGUAGUAUAAAUUUACAUGUCUUCUGUGUUCAUAGGGGACGAAAAUUCAAGCGUACGCAGUGAUCAUUUUAUCAGCGAGGAGUGAAGUUUUUGUACACUUUUCUCUUAAGGCUGGAAUCAUAGUAGUUGUAGAAGUACUAAUGAUUAUUGUUCUGUGUAACUUUAUAAUUUUUAGAACCUCUUUACAUAUGGUGUCUCAUUUGAAGAUUUGCUAGGGUAGUAGGGGAAAUUUUCACUUGUCUCCAAAUCCGAUUCCCAGCAACACCACCAUAUGGAACAUAGCCAUGAGUCUGGAAAUAAAUGGAAACAGCUUCUGAUUGGAAAAAAAAAACAGAUGUCACAGAACCCAUAGUUGAGCUUAAUUGAAAAGAGGAAGCCAUCGUCAAGCCAUGUCCCUAAAGGAGCAGAUUAGAGCCCCCUUGAUUCCGACGCAUUCAUGAGGUAUAACAGCUGGCAAGAGGAAAUAGAAGUGACGAGGUGACAAGGGUCUUCUGUUUACUCUUGGGCUAUCCAACAGUACAACGUGUGCACAUUCAGUGGAGGGCCAAGGAGACCUAGGUAGUCCAGAAGCCCUUCGAGUAUCGUCAGUCGAGGGACUAGAAUCUAGUCUUAACACAGUGUAAUGACUUUGGCAUAUUGGUGACCUUCUAGGUAAUCGAGAAGAGCUGAAGUGUCCUGGUCAAGAAAGCAAGAGAAUGUGUACUAGCUUCUUUUAAUAUCUUCGGUUGAAAAUAUUUCUUAUGAAAAUAACUUCUGCACUUAAAUGUAAUCUUCCGUUUUUCAAGGCCAUUUACUCAUGGAUAAUUGGCUUGCCCUCAUUCAGAUAAUAAAUAAGUUAGGUUAUCAUAGAGCCCAAAGAUCAGUAAUCUUCAGCUGUGCACACCAGGUAAAAAUGCUUGCUGCAGUUUAUUUUUAAUAUUUCAGAGACGUACCUAAAGAGCAUAAGGUUGGCAUACCUAUCUUAGUUAUGUUUCCAAAUCCUCGUAGCAGAAGUGGUGGGACAGAGAGCCCAGUGCUGUUGACCGUGGGCUGGGCGGGGUUUGAUCUCAGUUUGAUCUGUUCUCAAGCUAUUAAAGCGCAUUAAUCAUUCCUCCAGCAAACACGUAGCAACCAGCAGCUGCGUAGAGAAUAUGUCCAUCACCUCCAACAGAGAUACCACAGAAUCAUAGAAUGUUCAGCUGGAAGGAAGAGGUUACCCAGUCCAACUCAUCCUCUUAAUGAGAAAACUGAAGCCCGUACAGGUUAAAUGACCUGCCCACAAUCAUGUAGCAACCAGGGCAGGAACCUAGUCCGCUUGUCCUUAUAAGAAUGCCUCCUUGGGGAGCCUGGGUGGCUCAGUCGGUUGAGCGUCCGACUUCGGCUCAGGUCACGAUCUCGCGGUUUCUGAGUUCGAGCCCCGCGUCGGGCUCUGUGCUGACAGCUCGGAGCCUGGGGCCUGCUUCGGAUUCUGUCUCCCUCUCUCUCUGCCCUUCUCCCACUCACGCUCUGCCUCUCUUGCUCCCAAAAAUAAAUAAAUAUGAAAAAAAUGUUAAAGAAAGAAAAAGAAUGCCACCUUUAAAGAGGGAAGAUAACCCAAACAGAAACAUACACAUGUAAUAAAUUUUUGCAUAUGAAAGAAAAGGAGGGGGCACCUGGGUGCCUCAGCCAGUUAAGCUCUUGAUUUCCGCCCAGGUCAUGAUCUUGAGAUUCGUGAGUUCGAGCCCCCUGUGUGCUGUCAGUACAGAGCCUGCUUGGGAUUCUUUUUCUCCCUCUCUCUUUCUCCCCCCGACCUCUAAAAAUAAAUAAACUUAAAAAAAAAAAAAAAGGAAAUACAACACGUUAGUAUGUCCAUACUAGUGAGGGAAUGUGUCACCUCCUGCCUCUUUGAGUGGUCCCUUCACAGGAAGUGGAUUCUGUGAAAGAAGGAAACUUUGUGGCACUCGGAGGAGGGGAAACUGAGGCCAGGUGGAAAGAUGAUAGAGCAAGGCUACUUUUGCUCUGCUGUAGAUUAGUGUGAAAGCACGCAUGUUCCGAAGCAGUGACAGAGGACAAGAACCCUUGUCAUUAGAAGACCUUCCUUAGUCUGGACGUCACAGACUAGUGGAAAGAACUCCAUAUUUAAAAUUGGGAAAUGAGAGUCAGAGUUCAGGCUGCUUUGGCAUUUCUGCAGUGUGUGUAACUGAACUUCACCGAACCUUGGUUUCUCCAUCUGCAAAAUAAAAAUAUAAAGAGUAGACCACCUCACAGAUUGUUUUGAAGUUCAGGUGGAAAAAAGUAUAUAAAUGUUUUUUUUUUAAUAGCUGGAAAUAUUCAAGAAUUAGGUAAUCUAUUAUUCUGUACUAUUAUACUAUGUGUACCAGAGAAAAAUAUUUCUUUAAGAAUAAGGCUGUUUCAGAGGAGAAUGAACCCAAGCAGUUGGGCAACUUUGGGUUCCAUUUCUUUCUUUCCAUUCUUUCCCAUUCUUCCAUCCCUCCCUCCCUCCCUCCCUUCCUUCCUUCCUUCCUUCCUUCCUUUUUCUUCCCCAGUGGUUUUCAGCUUUGAUUGAUGUUAAUAGUGUAUUAUCCCUUUCCUAGAACGUGAACCCCCCGGGGUCAUUACAGAGCUUAGCAUCUAGACCUGGCAGGUUGGUCUGAGAGAGCAAAAGGUAGCAGGAAUCUUUAGUGGGAAGUUGAUCAGGUGCUCUGCCUUUGGCUUUUGGAAACAUAAGGAAUCUCGGGCACUGAAAUAUUUAAUGUUCACUAGGCCACUGCUGUAUGUAGUCCCUGAUGUCAAGACGGUUUCCCCUGACGAUAAAAGAAUCACAGAUAAUCACAGUUCAGUAAUUAUUAACUAUGGUAAUUCGUGUAAAGUUUGUUAAGGGUAACAGCUACCACUCCCCCUUCUGACAGACAUUUAUUGCCCAUUUAAAAUGUCCUUCAGUAAGCUCUUUCUAUGCAAGAUCUCAUUUGGCAAUUACGUGGGCUAUUUACCGAUAAGGAAAUCGAGACCCAUUUAGUUUUGCCGUAUGCAGGAAGGUCACUGAUGUGUUGCUUCUUAGAGCCUCGGGUUGUUCUCUCCUGUGGUUGUUGCCAUCUUGGCGUCAGGUGGCGUCGCGUUGUUAUUUUCCAAAUACAGGAGGAAGGGGGACAUCCCUCUAGAAUGGGUGUAACGGAAAGGGCCACUGGGAGGACCCACUGGAGAAACUUGUGAGAUGAGAAUAGCGUCUGCCUCUUUCAACAUUAUAGCCUCAGCACCUAAAGAGGGCCCUUGGCUCAUUUGUCCGCGCUCUGUACGUACUUGUCAAGUGAACGAAUGAUCCGGGCUUUCAUUUUAGCCAACAGCUUCAACCUCGUCCUUUCCGCAUGAACCCCGCUGCAAUUAAGACAACUACCCCCAUCUGAAUGUAAUUGUCCCCUCCUCUCCUUGCCCCACGGUAGAUGUAGAGCUAAUGAAGAGACAGGUACUUCCCGAGCCGCCCACAAGAAUGGAAGAGACGGAGCCACUGUCAUUAACCAGCAGGGUUGAUGUUCGAAGUCGUGGAGACACAGACGUGCUGAGUGGGACAUCAGGGAGUCGGUAUUCUCAAAGAAAGGCGUUCUCAGCCCUCCCGGUUUUCCUCUGACCUGUUCACGUUUUAUACCAUUCCAGGCCUCGAGCCACCUAAAGAUUUUCUGAGGUGCUUGUUCUAAAGAGAAUCUCAAGAUUCCGAUAGACAACUUGAGCCUCUGUCCCUGAUUCUGAGCUCAGCAUUUCAAUUUGUUCCUGCAUAUCAGAUGACUGUGUCCUUCCUAGAAUGGUGAAGGCUCUCUUGGCCCGUGCAGUUGAGAGUUUGCAUUUUUCCUGUGCGUUUUUCACCUGCUUCAGAGGGACUUUUCCAAAUGUUGCACUCAGUCCACUGAAAAUCCCGGUACUGCUAAAUAUAAGAGAGUCAAUAUAAUAAAUAUAGGCCACUCUUUGCCUUUCACUGGAUUCCUUCUUGUCUGCACAUGUGAGAUAAUUGACAGAAUUAGAUAUUAUUUUACAGUAGAGUUCCAGCUGUCCAAGUUCUAAAUCACAGGUAUGACUAACCCCAUGGGGGAAGAUUCCUAACAAUUUACCGUGUUUUCCAUGUUAGCGACAGGUUUCGUGCACACGCUCCGCUAUUAAAGCAUUAGACUUUCUUUGAUUUCUUAAUCAUUAACAACUUUAGCUUUGAUUGCCCAUGGAGCUGCAAGCUGUUAAAAUUAUCAUUUGCCUCUUACUAAUUUUGAAACCAAGAGCUGUUUCUUCGUUUGAUGUAGCACAGGUCUUUCUCAGAGCACAUAUACUCAGGAGCACUAAGAAUCUCCUGGAAGAAAAUAUAAUCUAAAGCUAUUGGAUUUCUAAAAUAGAUGGGAUAGAGACAAUACUCUUUUUAAAAAAAAAUUUUUUUAAGUUUAUUACAGAGAGAGAGAGAGAGAGAGAGAGAGAGAGAGAGAGAGAGACAGCAUGCACAUGAGUGGGGGAGAGGCAGAGAGAGAGGGAGACACAGAAUCCAAAACAGGCUUCAGGCUCUGAGCUGUCAGCACAGAGCCCGACGCGGGGCUCGAACUCACAGACCGCGAGAUCAUGACCUGAGCCAAAGUCGGACGCUCAACCAACUGAGCCAUCCGGCCGCCCCGAGAAAAUACUCUUAAAUACUAAAAAGUGCAGCUUUUUAAAAGAUUCAACAAAGAAUUUAUUUUUUUUCAGGAGAAAAGUGUCUCUGGGUUUUUACGGUUUAGUGUGUGAAUAGUGGAUAUUUUAUGAAGAAGCUAAGGAGGCAGGAAAUUUGAAAGCUGUGUUUCAACGCUAAAAGGUCAGUUGAAAUUCACCCAGGGUUAACAUAGUGUUGGGUUAUCAUGAAAGCCAGCAGAAUGUAAAAAACCUCCUGGAAAGAUUUUGUUUGUACAUAGCCUUUUCAAAACCACGCCCCUAAAGUCUUUAACCCAUAGUGAAUGCUCAAUAAAUAAUUGUUAAAUUGAUUUGAUACAUGUUAAGACCAAUUGGUAGUAUGAUCAAAUGAAAUAUGUGACCUUGAGCAUUCAUUCAUUCAUUCAUUUAUUAUCCACUCACUGGUAGUUAUGUCCCAAACGUUGUUUAUUGGGAACAAAUUGAAAAUUGGUGACUCAGUGUACAAAAAAUGGCUUUUCUCUGACGUUAUGGGUAUACGUGGACAGCCCUGGGCUGAAGGAAUUUAUAUCGGGCCAAGAGGCUCCUGCCGACUAGUUCUGUGCAGGCUACUCAAGACAUAUCUGGGAGGCAGGUUAACAUGGCCAAUUCCUAAGCCCCAUUUUUAAAAAUUUUGCUGGCUAGACCUAGGGUGAGCCUAGCUCUUGAAUUUUUUGGAAAGCUACCCGGAUACGGAUACACGUUUAGGUUUCAAAACCCAAUGUAAGAUCAUAUCAUCUAUGACUGUUUCUUCCGGGAAGAAUCAGUUACCACAGAUAGUUAUUCAGCCUGUUUGUAAUGGGACUAUUUUUGACUUCCUGUUGGAGUGGUGGAGACUCAACUCUGAGGUGAUGGUAGCGAUAAGAUGUUCUCCUUCGAUCAUCAGGAAGAUCAACAUGUAGCUUUCCUCCGACCAGUGUUUGUAAUUUCUGGGGGUUCUUUCUACAUGCCAGUCCCGUGCAGGGCAGUGCCCUGGGCAUAAGCCCCUACGUGACUUAUUACUUAAAACGAAGCACGCAAAUCAGCAUUACCUUGGAGCUCUCUCAUACUUCGAGGCUCCCGAGGAUACUGCUCUUGUCUGUGAGCCAUAUCAGUGCCAUUUAUGGCACCCACCACUCCCAGACUCACCCCCCAACCCUUCUCUGAGGAGAUACAACCUCAGGUUCUGGCUUCCAGUGGUCCCGUUGACAAGGCAACCAGAGUGUAUCCAUUCAAACCACCGUUCACCUUGCUAUUCUUACGGUUAGAAUAAAUCCCCUUUUCUUUUUUUUUUUUUUCCUUACCUAUCCUAUAUGAGAUUUGUUGUUAAGUACUGACCUGCACGGUCUCUUCAGAAUUCACCAACUUCCUUCCUUUUUAUCUACAGCCUACUCUUGAUGUGUUUUCCAUCUCCUGUGUAAUAGAGCGUACCUCUAAUCAGCCCCUCCCACUCAAUAUCAUUAUUAGGAAGCAUAAUCGUGCGUUAGUUAUAAUGUACUCUGAUUUUGGAUGCUU
Long non-coding RNA from Acinonyx jubatus (cheetah), 8806 nucleotides. RefSeq lists it as uncharacterized. The transcript has 3 exons. The record is from RefSeq and is a predicted model, not a curated record. NCBI's taxonomy places the organism in Eukaryota, Metazoa, Chordata, Mammalia, Carnivora, Felidae.